UGGAGUGUUGGGCAGAGGCAGCUUCUUUGCUUAGGAAGAGUGAUGCUAAAACGAAGCAGACUUCUAUUUAUGGACGAGGCAACCGCCUCUGUUGAUUCACAGACAGAUGCUGUGAUUCAGAAAAUCAUCCGCGAGGACUUCAACGCCUGUACUAUAAUCAGCAUUGCCCACAGAAUACCAACAGUCAUGGACUGUGAUAGAGUUCUUGUUGUAGAUGCAGGAAUAGCAAAAG
Molecule: unclassified non-coding RNA, 232 nt
Filed under: Hevea brasiliensis (rubber tree)
Lineage: Eukaryota; Viridiplantae; Streptophyta; Magnoliopsida; Malpighiales; Euphorbiaceae
Source: RNAcentral